AUCGUGAUGAAGGUGAAAAAAUGGAGAGAAACUGCUGAUGUUUAGUGGCUACCUUUGCUACCUUGCAGUUUACUUGUUAGGUGGGAAGAGCCAAGGUGCUCUCCCUACCCCUUCUUCCUGGGGCCUCCAGAGAUCCUGAGCUCAUCCUCCUGACCGGCCCAUCGGUUCUGGCCCUCACAUCCUGUUUGCUGUACCUACUUUAUCCCAUGUCACCAUCUCCGUGCCCCAGCCUGGUGACAAUCCCACUUCCUACCCAUUCCAUUGGCUUCUCCAUUUGACUUGGAGCUCUUCAGCUGGAUCGAGACAACUACUCUGAUGAAUGCCACGUCACUGGAUCAACAGAAUGGGCCCAAGUAUGCUAGUUUACAAGGACUCCAGAUGCCCUGGGAGCUUCAAAAUGUUUCGCCAAUUAUCAGAGGAAGUUACUGGGAGGGGGCUUGCUGUGGCCCCAUCUGGGAGAGUUGAGCCCUGGUCCAGCCCCACGCAGGGAGGGAGCCUAUC
This is a long non-coding RNA of Symphalangus syndactylus (siamang), 501 nucleotides long. RefSeq lists it as uncharacterized. Lineage: Eukaryota; Metazoa; Chordata; Mammalia; Primates; Hylobatidae. The record is from RefSeq and is a predicted model, not a curated record.